UUUUUUUUUUUUUUUUUUGAGACAGGGUUUUUCUGUAUAGCCCUGGCUGUCCUGGAACUCACUUUGUAGACCAGGCUGGCCUCGAACUCAGAAAUUCGCCUGCCUCUGCCUCCCGAGUGCUAGGAUUAAAGGCGUGUGCCACCACCGCCCAGCUCAGAGUUUCCUUUUUAGCAUUAUAAUAAACAUGACCAAAAGCAACCUGGGGUAGGAAAGGGUUUAUUUCAUCCUACAGUUUACAAUCCAUCCUGAAGGGAAGAUGGAGCAGAAACUCAAAGGAGGAACUCCUAGAGUCAGGAACUGAUGUAGAGACCAUGAAGAAACCAGCUUACCUCUCCUGUCUUGCUCAGAUAACUUUUUAUUUUAUUUUUUAUUAUUUUUUCUUUCUUUACUAUAUGUAAGUACACUGUAGCUGUCUUCAGUCACUCCAGAAGAGGGCAUCAGAUUUUGUUAGGGAUGGUUGUGAGCCACCAUGUGGUUGCUGGGAUUUGAACUCAGGACCUUCGGAAGAGCAGUUGGCGCUCUUAACCACUGAGCCAUCUCACCAGCCCCAGAUAAAAUUUUAAUACAACCUAGACUCACCUAUCCAAAGGUGGUAGCAUACACAGUGGGCUAGACCCUUCCAUAUUGAUCACUAAUCAGAAAUUACUUGACUACAGACCAGUCUUACGGAGGCAAUUUAUAAUUGACAUUUCCAUUCACAACAUAAUGGUAGCUUGUGUCAAUUGGAAAAAAAAAACAAAAUCUUAACCAGAACAAUGAAUAAAUUAGAGACCUACUUGGAAAAUGAAAAUAUAACUAAGUAUCCAUGGUACAUUGAGCCUUUUUGGAUAUCAGAUUUCAUGUAUGUUCAAGGCGAAGGACUUGAGUAAAAACUUCUCCAAAGAAAUGUUUGGCAUGCAAAUAGCUAAUAGGCAUUUGAAAAGAUACCCAACAUCAUUAGUCCUGUGAGAGGCAUAAAUCAGAUGUGCUAGAGGUUAACAACCAAUCCACUAGGAUGGCAAAAGUAGACAGGCAACAAUGUUGAAAAUUAUUUGUACUAAUUAGAAUGCUCACACACUGUCAGUGAGAAUAGGAAAUGGUAAUGGCACUUUUGGAAAAGAUUGGCCAUUUCUCCCAAAGAUAAAUACAGUGUUGCCAACAUGAAUCUACAAAAACAUUCUUCACAGAGUGUUAUUCACGUUAGCAUAAGAACAGAAACAACUCAUCAUUUAAAGUAAUGAAUGAAUGAAUAAGAUAUGCACAUCAUACAGUCCUGUGCUAAUUCAUUAGGAAUAAAGUACAUGCCACAGUGUUGAUAAAACUUGCAGUGUACUAACUAAAUGUGAUCACAUAAAAAGACAACAUACCACAGCCAUUCUUUUGAGUAUAAAGUGAGUAGAAUAGAACUUGUGAAGGUUGUAGCUUGUAGCUAGAGGUUAACAGGGUGACUUGAGUUUGAUUGCUAAUACCUAUGGAGACAGAAUAAAAAUGUGAAAUCAAAUUGUGGUGAUAUUGGUACCACAUUGAAUACUACAGACCACACAGCACUUUAACGUGCAGACUGUAUGUAGAUAAAUUACAUCUCAAAGCUUUUAGUUUCAAAAGUGAGUGUACUUAAUUUUUCUUUGAACGGUACAUUUUAGUGUUCAUUUUCUUAAAAGGAGGAAUUAUUUGUGUGCACAGUAGAUUUCACUUUUCGAUGCCUUACUAGUGUUGCUGGACUUAAGAUCUUUGCUGACUUUUAUAUCUACCUCACUUCAGUUUCCCUUGAUUGCUUCUCUUCUCCAUCCUAUUACUUAUUACUCCAAGGUGGGCUGUGUGCUUUGAGUUUAGAGUUACUUACGUUCCACCUGCUGCUGCUCUUGCUUGAUGCUGUGUUUGUUUGUUGUUUAUGGAAACAAAGUAUUAUUCUAGGUAGCCCAGGAUAGUCUCAAACUCAGCUUCUCUUGCUCCAGCUCCCUGGGUUUUGGGGUUACAGAUGUGCUCCAGGAUGCUACACUCUGUUUCUUGUGUUUUCUGCUGACAUUAUAAUCAUGUUAUCAUGCACAAAGCCUUUUGUUUCACAACCUGCAUUCAGCACUGCUCUCUGUGUUUUAUAGCACAGCCCUGGUAACUUUUAGUGUGCUGAGGGUGGCUGAACUUAGUGCUCUGUGCUUGAACUCUGGAGGCUGAUAGACUGUCUCGUUGUCUUACAGGUUCUACUUCCCUCAUUGGUACUGUAGUGGCAGCAGCAGAACCUACAGAUACGGAGUGUCCCGUGGGGCUGAAGCUCCUCUGCUUGAUGACUUUGUCAUGUCUUACCUUUUUGCUCAGGUAUAAUUAUAAUAUAGUUAACAUUAAUCCUCUUUAUGUGUGUAUUAAACCAGAAAUUUCUUCCUAUUUAGUAUGCAUCUUAAGUAGAGUAACUUUCACGUGGGAAAAUGCAGCUCUCCCUGAGGCACCAGGUAUGAAGAGAUAAGGGGGUAGUCUGUGUGAUAAUCGGUUUCCAUCUCAUGAUUUACAGAUGUAUUUUAUAACGAUUCCAUGAAUUGACCCUUCCAAAGUCACUUUUUUUUUCUUUUAAAAUCUAAGUCAUUUUAAGGAUUUUUUUUUUAAGGUAGCAUAAAUUUAACAGCAGAAUUCAUGUGGCCAUUGGGUGGUAAAAUUCUAUAGAGUUUUUAAUAAAUAAAUUUUGGAUACUUUCGUGUUUACAUGGUAGGCAGUAAAAUGUAACAAGAUUCCUCUACAACAAACAGAGUGAGCUGUGAUAGUUGGUAGGCCCCUCAAGGGAGGCUGGCCACGUUUGAUGCUUAGAGUGGGAGCUGUGUUCAGCUAUUUGUCCACUAGUACUAUAAUGAUACACUUCUGUAGUGUUAUUUGAACACCUCGUAAUGCAUUCUUUUCUAUUAUCUUUAACUUAACAGUAAUUGAAAUAUUUUCUUUUUAAACUAUUUUGUUUUCAUGGGCUACUACUUUUAACUGUCCUAUCAGGGAAAAAAACAUGGUGAGACAAAUUUAUUGAAAAAUGAAACAAAAAAACCCAAAAAUGAAACAAAGUGAAAAACAAAACAAAAACUUCUAUUGCAUCAUUAUGAGUGUCUAGCCAUACAAGAAUACUUUCUGCCUGGUCCCAGGCAAGCUACCCCUGCCAGUCUUUCUGAGGUGCCUGUGCUCUCUCUUUGCCUCAUUCCUUCUAUGUCUUUGCUCUGCUUUGCACCUGUCCCAAUGCCUUCAUCAUUAAAGAAAAUUAGGUUUCAAAUUUUGCGUGAAACCUUUUAAUUAUGCCAAUUGUAUACGAUUUCAACACUCUCUAGGUUCCUAAAGUGUCUGCUGCGUGGUACUUCACGUUCUAUUAGCUGACAUAGUAGUGAUCUGCUUCUGUGUUUAGCUUCCAAGAAAACAAGUCUGGUCUUUCUGAUGGAUUAAGACCACCUUCUAUGUUUCUUUAUAGACCACACAAACUCUAGUACAAUGCCUUCAAUAUGAAGUCCGUGUACAUUUGAUUAAUUAACAUUUAUUUUGGUUUAGGCAUUUUUAAAAUGAUUUUAAGAUAAAGCUUUACGGCUGGGCAGUGGUGGUGCAUUCCUUUAAUCCCAGCAGUUCGGAGGCAGAGGCAAGUGGAUCUCUGUGAGUUCUAGCCUGUGUAGCUAGCCUGGUCUACAGAGCAAGUUUGAGGACAGUCAGGACUACACAGAGAAACCCUGUCUGGAAAAACAAAC
RNAcentral lists this long non-coding RNA (3677 nucleotides) under Mus musculus (house mouse). RNAcentral describes it as "long non-coding RNA chr19:29272827-29276504". The record is from RNAcentral. Lineage: Eukaryota; Metazoa; Chordata; Mammalia; Rodentia; Muridae.